Molecule: ribosomal RNA, 468 nt
Filed under: uncultured bacterium
Lineage: Bacteria
Description: partial 16S ribosomal RNA
Rfam family: Bacterial small subunit ribosomal RNA
Source: RNAcentral
GACGAACGCUGGCGGCGUGCUUAACACAUGCAAGUCGAACGGAAAGGCCCUGCUUUUGUGGGGUGCUCGAGUGGCGAACGGGUGAGUAACACGUGAGUAACCUGCCCUUGACUUUGGGAUAACUUCAGGAAACUGGGGCUAAUACCGGAUAGGAGCUCCUGCUGCAUGGUGGGGGUUGGAAAGUUUCGGCGGUUGGGGAUGGACUCGCGGCUUAUCAGCUUGUUGGUGGGGUAGUGGCUUACCAAGGCUUUGACGGGUAGCCGGCCUGAGAGGGUGACCGGCCACAUUGGGACUGAGAUACGGCCCAGACUCCUACGGGAGGCAGAAGUGGGGAAUAGUGCACAAUGGGCGGAAGCCUGAUGCAGCAACGCCGCGUGCGGGAUGACGGCCUUCGGGUUGUAAACCGAUUUCGCCUGUGACGAAGCGUGAGUGACGGUAAUGGGUAAAGAAGCACCGGCUAACUACGUG